GAUGAACGCUGGCGGCGUGCCUAAUACAUGCAAGUCGAGCGAACGGACGAGAAGCUUGCUUCUCUGAUGUUAGCGGCGGACGGGUGAGUAACACGUGGAUAACCUACCUAUAAGACUGGGAUAACUUCGGGAAACCGUAGCUAAUACCGGAUAAUAUUUUGAACCGCAUGGUUCAAAAGUGAAAGACGGUCUUGCUGUCACUUAUAGAUGGAUCCGCGCUGCAUUAGCUAGUUGGUAAGGUAACGGCUUACCAAGGCAACGAUGCAUAGCCGACCUGAGAGGGUGAUCGGCCACACUGGAACUGAGCCACGGUCCAGACUCCUACGGGAGGCAGCCGUAGGGAAUCUUCCGCAAUGGGCGAAAGCCUGACGGAGCAACGCCGCGUGAGUGAUGAAGGUCUUCGGAUCGUAAAACUCUGUUAUUAGGGAAGAACAUAUGUGUAAGUAACUGUGCACAUCUUGACGGUACCUAAUCAGAAAGCCACGGCUAACUACGUG
Molecule: ribosomal RNA, 497 nt
Filed under: uncultured bacterium
Lineage: Bacteria
Description: partial 16S ribosomal RNA
Rfam family: Bacterial small subunit ribosomal RNA
Source: RNAcentral